AUGAAUAACAAAUAAAUGUGAGAGAUAAAGGAGAAAAUGUGACCAUCAAAAUAUUGGAGAAUCAACACAACACAACUAAGAAUCGAACCCAGGAUCAAAGAGAAAGAGGAAUAUCCACAUCUCCACCAGGCCAAGACCUAUUUACUGCUAGAUUAAGACCGACAAAAAGCUAAUGUUCUAACUGAAAACUCCCCAGGAAAAAAACGAGAAAGGCCAAACAUGGGCUAAGCUGUUUAAAGGCCCACGAACCUAAGUCUCAACUUGGGUAGUUGAGGCCCACUUCAACAAAGUCCAAGGGCGAAAAUGGCAGGGAAGCACAACGGUCCCAUUGUGUUCCAAGGUGGGGGCGGUCAUCAAUGCAGGAGAGAAAAAAAAACGGAAAGUUCACCUUUGGGGAAGUGGAAAGGAGAAAACCCAGUAAUGACCAUCAAAAUAGCUUCGUUGGAAAACGAAGAGUGAACCUAAACGGUGAAAAUGCCGACAAAAAACAAUCUUUCCCCAAAACCUCUCCCUAUCCACCUUCGUCCUUCUCCCCAAGAAUCCCUCUCCUUCUACCUAUCUCAGCUUACAACUACCCUCAUCAAACUUAACACUAGUAACCAACCUAGGUAUCAUGACGAAACCCAACACACAGAGGACAAAUCAAAUCCCAAAACUUAUGUCUACGCAUUUGGUUAAGGAAAAGCGAAAAAAAAAAAAGGGAAAAGAUGUACCAGAUUAAAAUAUCUCAGAGAUGAACGAACAGGUAUUCGAGCGCCUCUCUGCUUUCUUCUCCCGAAUCAACCUUUUACUGCUUUCCGCUGCUGCUUCCUUCUUCGUAAAUUUUAGGGUUUUUCUUUUUGGUAGUCCACUUCUCCGUUUUUCGUUCGGCCGCCUAGCUUUUAGGGUUUUUUUCCGCCUCUCCUCUCUGAUUCCUUUUUCUCUCUAUUUAUCUUCCACGCAUCCUAGGGUUUGGAGAUCCAAAAGAGGUCUCUGCCAAGGCCUUUCUGCGCUCAGAAAUUGGAGUGGUCUUUUUGGUGUAUGGUUCGAAAAAUGUGAAAUUGGCUUGGUUUGAUUUCAAAAUCUGAAGGGUGGUUAAUUGAUUCUUGGAGCUGCCACAGUGUUUCAGAGAACCAUUGGCCAUGAUAGCUAUCCGGUCACCUAGUUCAUCUGCUUCGUCCAUGGAAUGUGUUGCUCGUCAAGAAUUAUAACCUUACUGUUUCCAAUAAUUGUCUUGAGUUUAUCCAGCAGGGCCAAUUGGCAACAAAUGAGGUUUGCCUUUUGACUUGGUGUGGUGCGGAAGAGUUCUUAGCUUGGAUCAAUGGAAUAUUGUUGCCCUGGUCAUCUGGUGUAGUAGGUUGAUUUCGUGUGCACUUUUUGGAUUUGAGAAAAAAAACAAAUGCUGCCAUGUACCCAAUUUUGUGAGAUGGAGAACUAAUUGCAAUGAUUUUCAAUGGCCUCUAAAAAUGUCUUAGAUCC
Long non-coding RNA from Lathyrus oleraceus (garden pea), 1458 nucleotides. RefSeq lists it as uncharacterized. NCBI's taxonomy places the organism in Eukaryota, Viridiplantae, Streptophyta, Magnoliopsida, Fabales, Fabaceae. The record is from RefSeq and is a predicted model, not a curated record. The transcript has 4 exons.